This 443-nucleotide ribosomal RNA is filed under the name uncultured bacterium. RNAcentral's name for it is "partial 16S ribosomal RNA". It matches the Rfam family "Bacterial small subunit ribosomal RNA", at positions 338 to 795 of the family's 1533-position model. The record is from RNAcentral.
CCUACGGGAGGCAGCAGUCGGGAAUAUUGGGCAAUGGAGGAAACUCUGACCCAGCAAUUCCGCGUGAAGGAUGAAGGUUUUCGGAUUGUAAACUUCUGUUAUAAAGGAAGAAAAAAAUGACGGUAUUUUAUAAGUAAGCCACGGCAAACUAUGUGUAAGCAUCCGCGGCGAUACAUAGGGGGCAAGGGUUGUCCGGAAUGACUGGGGGUAAAGGGUGUGUAGGUGGCGUAUUAAGUUAGAGGUGAAAGCCCGAAGCUCAACUUGGGAACUGCCUUUAAAACUGGUUGUCUUGAGUGUGGGAGAGGUUAGUGGAACUCCUAGUGUAGCGGUGGAAUGCGUAGAUAUUAGGAAGAACAUCAGAGGCGAAGGCGACUAACUGGAACAUUACUGACACUGAAACACGAAAGCGUGGGGAGCAAACAGGAUUAGAUACCCGGGUAGUC